CUUGCAGGGUACUCGAGUGGCGAACGGGUGAGUAACACGUGGGUGAUCUGCCCUGCACUUCGGGAUAAGCCUGGGAAACUGGGUCUAAUACCGGAUAGGAGCCAUUUUUAGUGUGAUGGUUGGAAAGUUUUUUCGGUGUAGGAUUAGCUCGCGGCCUAUCAGCUUGUUGGUGGGGUAAUGGCCUACCAAGGCGGCGACGGGUAGCCGGCCUUAGAGGGUGGACGGCCACAUUGGGACUGAGAUACGGCCCAG
RNAcentral lists this ribosomal RNA (252 nucleotides) under uncultured Actinomycetales bacterium. Its description in RNAcentral is "partial 16S ribosomal RNA". It matches the Rfam family "Bacterial small subunit ribosomal RNA", at positions 79 to 334 of the family's 1533-position model. The record is from RNAcentral. Lineage: Bacteria; Bacillati; Actinomycetota; Actinomycetes; Actinomycetales.